CCCCUAAUGCUGGCGUUCCAACUUUGAGUUUCCUUAACUGCCCCCGGGCGUGUUCGCCACCUCGUACACCAAAUUAAGCUUCGUUGCGCUUCUUGGAAUGGUCCAGAACUGUAGGGUCACUGGCGGGAUCUCUAUCCCAAAGAGAAGCCUCGUGACCACUGUCCACCACGUACCAACAGCAGUCGAGCACAGCACUCUACAACCCAAUUCAGGGCGUUGCUCGCGUUGGGGAUAACAAUCAACGGUAGUAAUUCAACCCGUGAGAUCGCUCUGACGGCCAUUAUUUGGCCUCCUUCCACCCCUACUGCAGUUUAGUAGUACGGGGAAUACUGGACCCGAUGUGUGCACGAUGUUACCAACCAUGUUGCUCAGCGUUCGGCCACUGCCGUUCGUUUAGAGAAUUUCGGUUAGAGUCAAGCCUAACAUCCGACGUUGAGCGGAUGUACUUCAGCCUUAGCGAUCAUUAGCGCCUAGUCGUGCGGCGCCACUUAUGCAAGGGCCCGGAACAUGUGUGGCGGGCAGUGUGGUGCUCUCAAACAUUGUGGGCUUCAGCCACUCCAUUGGAAAAUCCUCGGUCGGCGGAUUCCACCCUAUCUACUAACCCCACUUCAGCAUUGUUCCAUUGGCAUUUCCCGCUUAAGACGUCUAUAGGUAGUGUGACCGCCGGCGA
RNAcentral lists this ribosomal RNA (670 nucleotides) under uncultured bacterium. RNAcentral's name for it is "partial 16S ribosomal RNA". The record is from RNAcentral.